UACGUAGGGUGCAAGCGUUAAUCGGAAUUAUUGGGCGUAAAGCGCGCGCAGGCGGCCUCGCGCGCCGACGUGAAAGCCCCCGGCUUAACCGGGGAGGGUCGUGGGGACGGCGGGGCUUGAGGGCGGGAGAGGGUGGUGGAAUUCCCGGUGUAGCGGUGAAAUGCGUAGAGAUCGGGAGGAACACCAGAGGCGAAGGCGGCGACCUGGACAGGUACUGACACUCAACUACGAAAGCGUGGGGAGCAAACAGGG
This 252-nucleotide ribosomal RNA is filed under the name uncultured bacterium. Its description in RNAcentral is "partial 16S ribosomal RNA". It matches the Rfam family "Bacterial small subunit ribosomal RNA", at positions 524 to 777 of the family's 1533-position model. The record is from RNAcentral.